Molecule: long non-coding RNA, 470 nt
Organism: Drosophila obscura
Lineage: Eukaryota; Metazoa; Arthropoda; Insecta; Diptera; Drosophilidae
Exons: 4
Source: RefSeq, a predicted model, not a curated record
GGGCAGACGGGUACGAGUAACUGCGGCCAAGUUAUGUGGCUUCAUUGUGGACAGAAUGAACGCUUUUAAGCAGACAAUUGCAGCCUGGGGCGCAGCCACAACAGAGAGUGCCACGCACCUCCCACUACCCCUGGCUAUUGUUUGCUCUCGUUCCUCCGACACAGCCGAAGGACUGGAGCUUGCCACAGAUUUUCGUAGGCCGCACUGCGGGCAUAAAUCAUUUGGGCCUGCUGCUGCUGCUCCCCAGCGCCUCCUCCACUGGCAACUUGCAACUUACAACGUGCAACUUGCUGCAAUAUGAGUUAAUUUCUAGAGCCUGGAUCAGAGAUCUCUGGGCCAGGAAUGGACUCCACUGCACUGCCCUCCCCUCCCCGCCCCACAGACUGAACUGAACAUUGGACACUGGUGUUAAGUCCCGUGCCCCAUGGAGUUUGGUGGAACCUGGCAGCCCCCUGCAGUCGCCAAAUGUA